AGCAGCCGCGGUAAUUCCAGCUCCAAUAGCGUAUAUUAAAGUUGUUGCAGUUAAAAAGCUCGUAGUUGAAUUUCGGGACCAAUUUGUUGGUCGUGCCUCGGUACGUACUGAUAUUAUUGGUUUCUCCCUUCUGAAGAACCAUGAUGCCAUUAAUUUGGUGUCGUGGGGAAUCAGGACUGUUACUUUGAAAAAAUUAGAGUGUUUAAAGCAGGCUUUCGCUUGAAUACAUUAGCAUGGAAUAAUGAAAUAGGACGUUUGAUUCUAUUUUGUUGGUUUCUAGGAUCGACGUAAUGAUUAAUAGGGAUAGUUGGGGGCAUUAGUAUUCAAUUGUCAGAGGUGAAAUUCUUGGAUUUAUUGAAGACUAACUACUGCGAAAGCAUUUGCCAAGGAUGUUUUCAUUAAUCAAGAACGAAAGUUAGGGGAUCGAAGACGAUCAGAUACCGUCGUAGU
RNAcentral lists this ribosomal RNA (450 nucleotides) under uncultured Glomeromycotina. Its description in RNAcentral is "SSU rRNA". It matches the Rfam family "Eukaryotic small subunit ribosomal RNA", at positions 569 to 1024 of the family's 1831-position model. Lineage: Eukaryota; Fungi; Glomeromycota. The record is from RNAcentral.